This 250-nucleotide unclassified non-coding RNA is filed under the name Hevea brasiliensis (rubber tree). The record is from RNAcentral. Lineage: Eukaryota; Viridiplantae; Streptophyta; Magnoliopsida; Malpighiales; Euphorbiaceae.
GGAGAUCAAAAACGAGUCCGUUGAUCUGGUAUUCUCGCUUUUCUGCUGUGAUUCUUGUUUUCAUUUCCUUUAUUUCAAAAAAUCAGCUCAAUUCCAUUGUUAACACUCAAAAAACGUACAGAGACUUGUAAGCAUGUUGUUUUGGACUUGGAAACCACAAACGACGAGUUUUGUUUUCCCCUUUGGUUACGUUAUGUGCUCAUUUUACCUGCAACUACACGAUCAUGUUUGAUCAUUUCUCUCUAAAAGC